GGGUCAGUAGGUUGGUCGUGCCACCGGUACGUACUGGUCUCACUGAUUCCUCCUUCCUGAAGAACCGUAAUGCCAUUAAUUUGGUGUUGCGGGGAAACAGGACUGUUACUUUGAAAAAAUUAGAGUGUUUAAAGCAAGCUAACGCUUGAAUACAUUAGCAUGGAAUAAUGAAAUAGGACGAUCGAUCCUAUUUUGUUGGUUUCCAGGAUUGACGUG
RNAcentral lists this ribosomal RNA (216 nucleotides) under Glomeromycotina sp. Its description in RNAcentral is "partial small subunit ribosomal RNA". The stretch from base 40 to 216 matches the Rfam family "Eukaryotic small subunit ribosomal RNA", at positions 686 to 864 of the family's 1831-position model. The record is from RNAcentral. Lineage: Eukaryota; Fungi; Glomeromycota.